GGCCCCGUAGUGGUUCACGCCAAAGUGCAAAUUUGGAGCUACACCCCAGAAGGUGUCGGGGCCU
This 64-nucleotide transfer RNA is filed under the name Quedenfeldtia moerens. Its description in RNAcentral is "tRNA-Cys". The record is from RNAcentral. Lineage: Eukaryota; Metazoa; Chordata; Lepidosauria; Squamata; Sphaerodactylidae.